Molecule: RNA transcript, 7036 nt
Organism: Oncorhynchus keta (chum salmon)
Lineage: Eukaryota; Metazoa; Chordata; Actinopteri; Salmoniformes; Salmonidae
Gene name: protein phosphatase 1 regulatory subunit 16A-like
Exons: 13
Source: RefSeq, a predicted model, not a curated record
UCUAGUGGGCACCUUUCGAUGACAGCACAGUGGUUGUUAUGGAAAAGCAUUUCCCCGGAGGAUCGGGGACAGAACAGCUGAUCGGGUUCAGUCGGGCUGAGAACACGGAUACGAGUUUGUGCUGCUGUCAAACUGAAUGAACUUCACAGGUAGCCUGGCGGGUAAGAGCGUUGGGCUACUAAACGAAAGGUUGCUGAAUCGAAUCCCCAAGCUGACAAGGUGUCAGGGGAGGGAGUAGAAUGUUCUGUAUUCUAAGAAGCACAAUGGAUUCUUGAGACGCUUUGAUGCCUGACUCUUCCUGGUUCCCGAAGCACCACCUGCAGUGGCCUAUUACAGGACUAGAAGUGAUCCAAUCCCCAUGCAUCCCCCACCUCUGACCAACCCCUGCCCUUACAUUCUCUCAUACUACUGCACUCUAAAAACAAGCUCUAUGCAGUAUUAGUCCAAAUCUCUGUUUAUAUUUUAUUAUCACAUUGAACAAUGUGACCUGGUUCCUCUUAGAUGCUGAGAUUGUACUCUAAGUAACCACUUCACUUCAAGGUUUGCACCACAGCUCUCAGUAUGGACUCCCACCCGGGGACUUGUGUGCUGGGUCCACUUCCCAGAGAGUGUAGGCCUAACCAUCAAUGGUUGCAUUGCUGGCACUGACAGGGGGCAGAGGCGAAGUAGUGUCACUGUUUCGGUCCCCCUCCCUCCAACCCAGAGGAAUACAGGAAGGAACACAGGAUUUAAGGACAGAGACGUGGUUCAGUAAUCUGGAUGGAUCUGUUCCAGCAGGAGAUGUUCCAUAAAGAUCUAGAGUAAGAACCAGUUGGUUCUCAGGUCUUGAAUUUCCAUACAUAGUCUUUAAAGCAUAUAGGCCCAUGGAAGAGAAAUUGAUUCUGUGUUACUCACACAAAGAAUACCGACUUGGACCUUUACACCUUGGAGAUGUCUGCCACCUGACCUUCCAACAGCAGUGUUCACUUUCAACUGAUAAAACCCAGAACCAGAUCAGAACAGUGAAACGGGAGGUGUAGGAAGUCUGAGGUGGGCGGUGGUGUGGCAUGGCGGAGCACGGCGAGCUGCUCGGUGAGAUGGCUACGGUUGGGCGUCUGAGUGCCACGGAGCGCCUGAAGCACGCCCAGAAGCGGCGCGCCCAGCAGCUGAAGGGCUGGGCCCAGAUGGACAAGGAUAUGGCCCGUGGCGGGGGCAAGGCCGGACAGAAAGUGGACAAGAACAAGGGGCGCACGCGCAGGGUGGUCUUCCCCAACAACAUCACCCUGCUGGAGGCUGCAGCCCGCAAUGACCUGGAGGAAGUCAGGGAGCUGCUGAACGGUGGAGUCAGUCCAGAUCUGUACAAUGAGGACGGACUCACUGCCCUGCACCAGUGCUGCAUUGAUGACUUUGUGGAGCUGGUACAGUGUCUGUUGGACGCCGGGGCCAGUGUGAACGCCUGUGACAGUGAGCUGUGGACGCCGCUCCACGCUGCUGCCACCUGUGGACACACAGCCCUGGUGCAGCUCCUGGUGCAGUCUGGUGCAGAGAUGCUGGCGGUCAACGCUGAUGGCAACAUGCCCUAUGACCUUUGUGAGGACGAGGCCACGCUGGAGCUGCUAGAGAUGGUCAUGGCAGAGCAGGGUAUAACCCAGGACCGUAUAAACCAGUGUCGUGGGGCUAAGGAGAUGGAGAUGCUGACGGACCUUCGAGCGCUGGUCCAGAGUGGUGCGGACCUGAACGCUCAGGAUGACAAUGGGGCCACACUGCUGCACUUAGCGGCGGCUAACGGCUACCUGUUGGUAGGGGAGCUGUUGUUGGAGCACCAGGCCAAAGUGGAGGAGAAGGACACAGACGGCUGGACACCACUCCAUGCCGCCUCCUGCUGGGGACAGGUCCAGCUGGUGGAGCUACUGGUGGCUCAUGGGGCCAGUCUCAACACCAAGUCCGUUCUGGAAGAGACCCCACUGGAUGUGUGUGCGGAUGAGGAGGUGAGAGCCAAGCUGAUGGAGCUGAAGCACAAACACGAUGCCAUCAUGAAGAGUCGGGACCGACACAAGGGCACCUUGCAGAAACGAGCCUCCAGCACUGGCAGCAGAGGUAAGGUGGUGCGGCGUGUGAGCAUCAAUGAGCGUUCCAGCCUGUACCGGCGGGAGCACCACAAGGAGGCCAUGGUGUGGCAGGAGAGAGGCCGGCAAGCCGAGCCGCAGGACGACGACGAGGACAGACAGACUGACUACGAGCUCCACCAGCAUGUUGCCAUGGCUGCAGGUGCCAUGUCGAGGGGGGAGGAUGACGAGGGAGGGGAGAGGAAGUUCAAUCUGGGGAACGGUGGGAUUCCCCUGGCCCUGUUGGCGUCAGUCCCAGGGGAGCAGUGGAGCGCAGGCCGGAUGGACCGCAGCGCCUCUUACCAGCUGAGCCCUGCCUCGGGGACCGGGGAGGCAGGGGACAGCAUGACCCGGGAGAAAUCCCACCAGACACUAGCAGACCUGAAACGCCAGCGGGCUGCAGCCAAGCUCAACAAGCACCCAGCCCCACCCGCUCCAGAGGAGAUGCCCCCUUCUCCCGCCCCUCUGCAGGAUGUGACCCCGUCCGGAGCCGCCCAGGAGACACACAGCACAGAGGUGGCCUCCCCCGGCACUGUGUACUUCACCCCAGCCAGCGGGGACCCGCCCCUGCUCAAACUACAAGCCCCAGAGGAGGACACCUCCAACAACACCAAGGAGCCCUGCUGUGGACUCAUGUAGGGACAAACACUUCCAAACACCAACUGCCUGACUGGAAAUUAAAGUGGGCGAUGUGUAACAAUCAAAAAUGAUUUCAAAACGCUACGGUGACGACCAGAUAUACUUUUAAAGAUUCAUUGCAGUUGGAUUUAUUCUAAGUUUAUUAUUUGGUUCCGUUAAGCGCCUACUUCCAUCAAUUACAUGCCAUUGAAUUUUUGGUCUACUCUCCAUUUUGGUCAAUGUGGUUAUACAUUCCAUCUUCUUGCAUCAAUUUAUUUUUAGCCGUCCUUCCUGAAAUGUCUAAAACAAGAUUUAUCUAAUGGAGGGAAUGUAAAACAUAUUCCAAUAUAUGAGCACUUAACGUUCCUCUGUUGAUAAGGGUGUGGCCAGAGCCAUAGAUUUACAUACAUGGAUAUUGCUCUGCAUAUCUAUGGACCUCGUAUAGAGAGAGACCUUAUGUGCCCACCUGGUGGCUUCUAAGAGAACUACAGAUUCCAGUAUUACUCCUUCAAUAGCACGGAGUACUUCUUUUUGUUUAAUCCCUUUUUUCCAUGUUUGUUUAAGGCAAUUCAAUCAAAAGAGAGCGUUUUCUCAUAUCAAGCAUAUUAUAUAUGAACUGGCCAUCUGACUUAAGUGAAUAAGAUUUGCUCAUUUAAAGCAGAAAGGGGCUAGAGAAGCGUGAAUGAACCAAAGCUGAUUAUUUUACUUUAUUUUUUUCAAGCUGAAAAUCGGACCAAUGAAUGAUAAUUUUCUACUCAUGAUUGACUGAGCAUGAUUUGAGAUAUGCACAGUAAAUGGAUUUAAGAGAAGGAGAGAUUAGGAUCGAGAGUGAUUGUUACAAAAGGGUACAUAAUAAUGGCAUUUGUUGGUGUUAUUUGUUUUCUAUACACACUCACACCAGUCUGUCUGUUGACAGGGUACAGAAGUGGGAGUGUUUGUAGAUUAUGGUUUCUCUUUGUUGUUGCUUUGAAUUUGCAUCAAAUUUACACACGUGUAGACAAGUGCUAUUUCCCUGCCUUUCUACUGAUCAGCACUGUUCUCAAAAUUGUUUUUUUUUGUUCGUAAAUCAACAUACUGUUCCAGUGCACUAAGAACCUACAUUUUCUACGGUGCAAUUUGUAAACAAGGGUUUUGUUUUCUAAAUGAUUGUAAGAGAUGAUCUAAUAUUCAAAUUAAUAUAAAUUGUGUUUUUGUCAUGGUGUUUGUCCCACCUCAGGAUAAAAUGACUUCUUAUAGGCAUUUCUAUUUAAACUAUUUCUAUGCUGUGAAUAGGGAUGUACACAGUGUACAAAACAUUAGGAACACAUGCUCUUUCCAUGACUUGGACUGACCGGGUGAAUCCAGGUAAAGUCUAUGAUCCAUUAUUAAUGUCACUUGUUAAAUCCACUUCAGUCAGUGUAUAUGAAGGGGAGGAGACAGGUAAAAGAAGGAUUGUUAAGCCUUGAGACAUGGCUUGUGUAUAUGUGCUAUUCAGAGGGUGAAUGGGCAAGACGAUAUUUAAGUGCCUUUGAACGGGGUAUGGUAGUAAGUGCCAGACGGACCGGUUAGUGUGUCAAGAACUGCAACGCUGCUGGGUUUCACGUUCAACAGUUUCCCUUGUGUAUAAAGAAUGGUCCACCACCCAAAGGACACAAUCGUGGACCGCAUUGGCGUCAACUUGGGCAAGCAUCUGUGUGGAACACUUUUGACACCCUGUAGAGUCCAUGCCCUGACAAAUUGAGGCUGUUCUGAGGGCAAAAGGGGGUGCAACUCAAUAUUAAAGGUGUUCCUAAUGUCUUGUACACUCUGUGGAUAUUAAUGACAUUUCAUUUUUGUGUCAACACAAUUUGGCAACCCAUCCAUUACAGGAUUAUUUCACACACAAACUACAAUGAUUCACAGUGAUAGUUAUUCCGGUGUUCCGUACAGUGUGCACCUCAAAAGGAAUGAAAAUCAAAACAUAAAUAGUAGAUAUGGUUAUCCAAUCAAUAAUAACCCUAGGGCAGUGAAAAAUGAAAUACUGAAAAAUGUCUUAUAUUUUUGUGUAUGGAGUAGAUUGACCUGAACCAUUCCUGCCUAGAAAGCAGUAUCUUCUACAUUCCUGCCUAGAAAGCAGUAUCUUCUACAUUCCUGCCUAGAAAGCAGUAUCUUCUACAUUCCUGCCUAGAAACCAGUAUCUUCUACAUUGCUGCCUAGAAAGCAGUAUCUUCUACAUUGCUGCCUAGAAAGCAGUAUCUUCUACAUUCCUGCCUAGAAAGCAGUAUCUUCUACAUUCCUGCCUAGAAAGCAGUAUCUUCUACAUUGCUGCCUAGAAAGCAGUAUCUUUUACAUUCCUGCCUAGAAAGCAGUAUCUUCUACAUUCCUGCCUAGAAAGCAGUAUCUUCUACAUUCCUGCCUAGAAAGCAGUAUCUUCUACAUUGCUGCCUAGAAAGCAGUAUCUUCUACAUUGCUGCCUAGAAAGCAGUAUCUUCUACAUUGCUGCCUUAAUUAAAUGAAGGGGGCAUCAGAACAACUGACAGACCAUCUUGGUUAGCCUUGUCAAUGUGAUGGUUUGUCAACAGUAAGUGCCUACUGUAGGGUUGAUUGGCUAAGUGUAAAUAGUUUGCAUUGCUUGCACAAAGUUCCACAUAGACCAUGUGGGAUUCUGAUUGAUGUGAAGUAUGGGACUAAAUGCCUUUGACUCUCUCCUAAAUGUACUAUUGAAAUGUCUCCUUCCAUAAUGGAACUCAGUCCUCAAUUACACAUUUACAUUUGUUUGUUUUAAUGUAGAACAUCAUUUGUAUGGUUGUUGCCUGUUUAAAAAGUCAUGUUUUCACAGAGGGUGGUGCGACAUGGGCUUAGGAGUACAUGUGUGGACAUGUCAUUUAUUUGUAUAUAUUGGGAGUAAGAUGGACAGUCGUGCUUGCUCUCCUAAUAGAUACACUAUAUAUACAUAGGUAUGUGAACACCUCUUCAAAUUAGAACAUUCAACUAGUUCAGCCACACCUGUUGCUGACAGGUGUAUGAAGUUGAGUACACAGCCAUGCAAUCUCCAUGGACAAACAUUGGUAGUAGACUGGCCUUACUGAGCUCAGUGACUUUCAACGUGGCACCAUCAUAGGAUGCCAUCUUUCCAACUAGUCAGUUUGUGAAAUUUCUGCCCUGCUAGAGCUGCCCCGGUCAACUGUAAGUGCUGUUAUUGUGAAGUGGAAACGUAAUUUAGAAACAACGGCUCAGCCACGAAGUGGGAGGCCACACAAGCUCACAGAAUUGUACCGCUGAAGUGCGUAGUGCAAACAAAUCGUCUGUCCUUGGUUGCAAUACUCACUACUGAGUUCCAACCUGCCUCUGGAAGCCUUGUCAGCACAAGAACUGUUCAUCAGGUUCUUCAUGAAAUGGGUUUCCAUGGCUGAGCAGCUGCACGAUCACCAUGUGCAAUGCUAAGCACCGGCUGGAGUGGUGUAAAGCUCACUGGCAUUGGACUCUGGAGUAGUGGUGAGGAAUGAAUAGGAAUGAUGGUCUGGGGCUGUUUUUCAUGGUUCGGGGUAGGUCCCUUAGUUCUAGUGAAGGGAACUCUUAAAGCUAUAGCAUGCAAUGACAUUCUAGACGAUUCUGGGCUUCCAACAGUUUGGGAAAGGCCCUUUCCCAUUUCAGCAUGACAAUGCCGGCGUGCACAAAGCGAGGCCCAUACAGAAAUGGUUUGUCAAGAUCGUUGUGGAAGAACUUGUCUGGCCUGCACAGAGCCCUGACCUCAACCCCAUCGAACACCUUUGGGAUGGAUUGGAACGCCGACUGCGAGCCAGGCCAAAUUGCCCAACCUCACAAAGGCUCUUGUGGCUGAAUGAAAGCAAAUCCCCGCAGUAAUGUUCCAACAUCUAGUGGGAAGCCUUUCCAGAAGAGUGGAGGCUGUUAGAGCAGCAAAGGGGGACCAACUCCAUAUUAAUGCCCAUGUUUUUGGAAUGAGAUGUUCGACGAGCAGGUGUCCACAUACUUCUGGUGCUGUAGUGUGUGUAUGUGUAGCGUCCUACAUCUGCUACAUAACUGUACUUCAAGCCAGCAGGGGGACACUGAGGGAAGAAAACCAUGCUGCUCAACAUUCACACCAGUUUCAUUCUCUCUAUUGUACAUGGAAGUACCUGCACUGAGUAUAUGAAUGGUUGAAAUAUUGAAGGUUCCUGGAGUUCAUUGUCUUUCCUGUCCAGCUAAUGAAGAUGAACCAUAAAAGGGUGGGAUGUUUGUGGGAAGGACUCAGACUGAUCAAGGACCUACAGUAGCUUACCUGUCAAUGUAUUUCUGAUACCUUAAUUUUGAUCACCUUAAAACAAAUCUAGAGCCUUUGUAUAUAUUUUACAAUAAAUAUAUUAUGUCAAACUUGA